RNAcentral lists this ribosomal RNA (498 nucleotides) under uncultured bacterium. RNAcentral describes it as "partial 16S ribosomal RNA". It matches the Rfam family "Bacterial small subunit ribosomal RNA", at positions 29 to 523 of the family's 1533-position model. The record is from RNAcentral.
AUUGAACGCUGGCGGCAUGCCUUACACAUGCAAGUCGAACGGUAACGCGGGGCAACCUGGCGACGAGUGGCGAACGGGUGAGUAAUGCAUCGGAACGUGCCCAGUAGAGGGGGAUAGCCCGGCGAAAGCCGGAUUAAUACCGCAUACGACCUUCGGGUGAAAGGGGGGGAUCGCAAGACCUCUCGCUAUUGGAGCGGCCGGUGUCAGAGUAGGGAGUUGGUGGGGUAAAGGCCUACCAAGCCGACGAUCUGUAGCUGGUCUGAGAGGACGACCAGCCACACUGGGACUGAGACACGGCCCAGACUCCGACGGGAGGCAGCAGUGGGGAAUUUUGGACGAUGGGCGCAAGCCUGAUCCAGCCAUGCCGCGUGCGGGAAGAAGGCCUUCGGGUUGUAAACCGCUUUUGUCAGGGAAGAAACGCUUCGAGCUAAUACCUCGGAGUAAUGACGGUACCUGAAGAAUAAGCACCGGCUAACUACGUGCCAGCCGCCGCGGUAA